RNAcentral lists this long non-coding RNA (264 nucleotides) under Brassica napus (rape). RNAcentral describes it as "long non-coding RNA (BNAP_LNC010521)". Lineage: Eukaryota; Viridiplantae; Streptophyta; Magnoliopsida; Brassicales; Brassicaceae. The record is from RNAcentral.
UCUCUCUUUCCUGUAAUCUGCUGGUGGGGGAAGGAUUGCGUGCGAUAUAUCUCCUUGCGGUCAAAAGAUUCUCCCUGGUUUGUUUGUUUAUUUUAUAAAGAUUCUUAGUAGCUUUAUCUACGACAAAACAGUCUUUUCUUUCCUUCACAAGAACCAAAUUGUUGUUCGGUCAUAUUCUCUAUGUUUACGUUCUAUGAUGAACUCAUGUUGAGCUUUUUUCUUUCUCUUUUGUCUAUGGCACACGCAUAUUAUUAGAUACCAUGC